Molecule: ribosomal RNA, 486 nt
Filed under: uncultured bacterium
Lineage: Bacteria
Description: partial 16S ribosomal RNA
Rfam family: Bacterial small subunit ribosomal RNA
Source: RNAcentral
ACUCAAAUGAAUUGACGGGGGCCCGCACAAGCGGCGGAGCGUGUGGUCUAAUUCGAUGCUACACGAAGAACCUUACCCAGGCUUGACAUGCAGGAGGUAGGGAAGGGAAACCGGACCGACCCGCAAGGGAACCUGCACAGGUGCUGCAUGGCUGUCGUCAGCUCGUGCCGUGAGGUGUUAGGUUAAGUCCUGUAACGAGCGCAACCCGCGUGGUCUGUUAUACGUGUCAGGCCAGACUGCCGUUUUCAAGACGGAGGAAGGUGCGGAUGACGUCAAGUCAGCAUGGCCUUGAUGCCUGGGGCUACACACACGCUACAAUGGGCAGUACAAUGGGACGCCAAGUCGUGAGAUGGAGCCAAUCCCCCAAAGCUGCUCUCAGUUCGGAUUGGAGGCUGCAACCCGCCUCCAUGAAGCCGGAGUCGCUAGUAACCGCGCGUCAGCUAUAGUGCGGUGAAUACGUUCCCGGGCCUUGUACACACCGCCCGU